Molecule: non-coding RNA, 72 nt
Organism: Ictidomys tridecemlineatus (thirteen-lined ground squirrel)
Lineage: Eukaryota; Metazoa; Chordata; Mammalia; Rodentia; Sciuridae
Source: Rfam
GGGGUUGUGGCUCAGUGGUAGAGCACUCACCUAGAACGUGUGAGGCCCUGGGUUCAAUCCUCAGUAUCACAU